UUAACUAAGUAAAGGGCAUUC
RNAcentral lists this non-coding RNA (21 nucleotides) under Caenorhabditis elegans. Lineage: Eukaryota; Metazoa; Nematoda; Chromadorea; Rhabditida; Rhabditidae. The record is from RNAcentral.